Molecule: ribosomal RNA, 166 nt
Filed under: Vibrio cholerae INDRE 91/1
Lineage: Bacteria; Pseudomonadati; Pseudomonadota; Gammaproteobacteria; Vibrionales; Vibrionaceae
Description: partial 23S ribosomal RNA
Rfam family: Bacterial large subunit ribosomal RNA
Source: RNAcentral
AUAAGCGCUGAAAGCAUCUAAGCGCGAAGCGAGCCUGAGAUGAGUCUUCCCUGACAGUUUAACUGUCCUAAAGGGUUGUUCGAGACUAGAACGUUGAUAGGCAGGGUGUGUAAGCGUUGUGAGGCGUUGAGCUAACCUGUACUAAUUGCCCGUGAGGCUUAACCAU